RNAcentral lists this ribosomal RNA (449 nucleotides) under uncultured bacterium. RNAcentral's name for it is "partial 16S ribosomal RNA". It matches the Rfam family "Bacterial small subunit ribosomal RNA", at positions 29 to 523 of the family's 1533-position model. The record is from RNAcentral.
AGCGAACGCUGGCGGCAGGCCUAACACAUGCAAGUCGAACGGACCCUUCGGGGUUAGUGGCGGACGGGUGAGUAACACGUGGGAACGUGCCUUUAGAUUCGGAAUAGCUCCUGGAAACGGGUGGUAAUGCCGAAUGUGCCCUUCGGGGGAAAGAUUUAUCGCCUUUAGAGCGGCCCGCGUCGGAUUAGCUAGUUGGUGAGGUAAUGGCUCACCAAGGCGACGAUCAGUAGCUGGUCUGAGAGGAUGACCAGCCACACUGGGACUGAGACACGGCCCAGACUCCUACGGGAGGCAGCAGUGGGGAAUCUUGCGCAAUGGGCGAAAGCCUGACGCAGCCAUGCCGCGUGAAUGAUGAAGGUCUUAGGAUUGUAAAAUUCUUUCACCGGGGACGAUAAUGACGGUACCCGGAGAAGAAGCCCCGGCUAACUUCGUGCCAGCCGCCGCAGUAA